Long non-coding RNA from Rhinolophus ferrumequinum (greater horseshoe bat), 3456 nucleotides. RefSeq lists it as uncharacterized. The transcript is spliced from 3 exons. The record is from RefSeq and is a predicted model, not a curated record. Lineage: Eukaryota; Metazoa; Chordata; Mammalia; Chiroptera; Rhinolophidae.
UUCUGCAGUGAGAGGGGCUUCAGAACACCUAGUGGACCAUGUUUCCAUAAAGAGAAGUCAAUGCCUUAUUUCAUUCAUGUGGAAGCUAACCAAGUUACAUACUUCACCCUGACAAACUGUAAUGGAAACAACAGACAAAAAGAAAAGAUCUGCAGCAUUUGUCACAGACAAAGGCUCAGUGUGCCAGACCAACAGGGCAGAGUUGGCUAUUUGAGCUGGAUCGCACACGCUCCUAGUCACUAGAUCAAGAGGAAUCAGAUGCUGAGCGGAUGGAGAGACUAUAUGAAAUCCUGGAAUUUGACUGGGGCGUAGUUCUGGGGGGUACUUCCCGCCACACGAUGCUUGCAGACGGGGCAAAUGAAUAUCUGUGACCAAGACAGUGCACUGGGAGAGCCUGUGUUACUGUGGUCAACUACUGGCUCCUACUUACAGUAAGAGGAUUCGCCUCCCCACCCCCACUUGACCUUGUGACUUGCUUUGGCUGACAGCCAUGCCCAUGGCAAGGCCCCAACAGGAGCUGCUCCUUUCUCUUUGGUCCUAGAAUGAAGAUACAUGAAGCAAAUCCACAGAUGACAUCAAAUGUAAGUGGAAAUAAACCAGAGUUUGGGGGGUUGUUUCUGCAUCAAAAUGUAGUGAAAACUGAAGGAGAGGUUCUGGAAUUAUCCAACUCUUUGUUUCGUUAAUUAUUCACAUAAGGAGAACAGUAAGACUGAGCCUAGGAAGCAUCAGGUCAAUAUGGCCAAAAGAUUUUGUCAAUUAAAGUUUAAAGAAUCUGAAAGAUGAAGAACUGGCGGCAUGUAAACAAAACAUCUGGAUUACAGACUGAAACUUGGACCGAAGUGAAGACGUUGGCUGCCCUGCAAGUGUUUGACUACAAUCAUCAUGUUAUAAAAAUUCUUAAUGCUUUUGAAUUUAGGAGAAUCCUAGUAAUUAUAACUUGCUUGCACUCUACAUAACUGUAAUGUGUGCUGCAUGUGAUUUUCUCUGGGAGUAAUCAAAUCUGACUUCUCCAAAGAUGAAGCAAAAUUUAAAAGUUUGGUUAGCUGAACGUCUGUGAAUUUAGAGUGGGAUGUUUACCUUCAACUGAUUCAAAUGUUAUUAGGCGUCUCUCCUGUUUUCUAUAAGUUAGUUUUAGAGGGGAUGUGACAGAUGGGUCUUCUGUGUUCUAGUCCUCUCUUUUUACCUACAAAUAAAAAUACGAAGACUUCAACAGGUGCCUCUUUUAAAAAAACAUCAGCAUUAAAACUCACAUAUUCCAAGUCAUUUGUAUAAAUUUCAGGGAAAGCUGCUGAGCUCCUGUGAUCGGUGGGCCCUGAACAGAAGUUGGAUGGGGUCUGUCAGUGUGCUUGUUAGAGCAUCAAUAACCGUGGCCUUUGGGAAGGGAGGCUGAAUGAAGACGGAUGGGUGGCGGGCUCCAUCCAGUCAGACUCUUCCACUGCCAAUUGUGAUGCCGACACAUGUGCCAGCAGCAGCACCACCCAAGUGCAAUGAGCAGGUGGCACAGCCAAACGGCUGUACCUCAUCUCAUUCAACGCCAUCAGUCUUACGGGCUUUGGACUUUGCUGCUGAUUCUUAAUCUGGUGACUCUUAAUUGUUUUAACAGCAUGACAUGCUGCUGUUUAUUGGGCUUUUUCUUGUUUGAAUACAUGCUGGAGUGACAAGAUUGUCUAGAGAAUUAUUCAUAAUGUGGUAAAAUUCAUAGUUUUCUUGUGCCAGUUUCAGGCAUUUUUAACUGCAGUGUUUGGAAAGGUAGCAUGUAUGAGUAGAGUCCUGACAGCGAAAGAGGCACGUUCGAAUCUCCUAAAUAGGAAAAACUUAAGCACACAUAUACCUUAGGCUUCCUUAAACACUCAUAUUCCCUCAAAUAUACACUAUAAACCUACCAUGCAUUAACUUAUUUAAGUGGUUUUUGAUCUCUAUAUGAUUUCAACCUAUACUUCUGUUUCAUUAGGACAAUGAUAGCUGCUAUAACAAAUAAAUCCAACAUUUUGCUUGUUUACUAUAAUGAAAUUGUUUUUCUUGUCUGUGUAACAGUCCAAUGAGAAAUUCCUGGUCAGUAGACAGUUUUCCUCUAACUUGUGACCCAAAGACCCUAACACCUUCCAUCCUGUGGCACCACACAGAUGCCAUGAUUGACACCUCAGAGUAUUCUGUUUCUAACCAGCAAAAGGGCAAGAAGACAGUGGGAUGGCUCAUCUGUCUCUUAAAUCCCCCAGCUAAGAAGUGACAUUCAUCCCUUCCACUCAUAUCUCGCUGGAGAGAGCUGGUUCAUGGCUAGACCUGGAUAUAAACCUGAGCUGGAAAAUGCUGUCCAGAAUUGGGCGACUAUCUACCCAACACCUCCAUAUUGUGGAAGAAGAAGUACCAUUUUGGGUUCACAGCCAGCUCUCUGCCAUCAUCACCUUGUGGGCUAGGAAGCUUUAAAAGUUGUUUCCCAUAUAUUUAAAAACACUAGCCUUCCUUUUAUGCCAAAGUUAUGUUAACUCUAUUUUAAAAUUCAAAUGGUAACUUCUACAUACCGCAUUGAAUUAUUAACCAUCUGACUCCAUCUUUCUAUACAAACAAUUAGUAUUCUAGUUCUCAAAGCAUUGUUGUCUAACACCUGCAAAUGAAAAUUCAUCUAAUUACUACUAGGCUCACUUGCAGAGUUUCCAUCUACACUCAUGAUUUGGGGUUGAGGAAAACCAUGGUAUGGUGCUAAUUGUACACUCCUUGUCUCAGACACCAUAAAAAUGUUAAAUUUAAUGACCUCAUAAACUUAUUGCCCAGGAAAAAAAUCCAGAUAGUUUCCAAUUAUUCAUUCAUUUAUUUGGAAAUAAUCAUUAUCCUCCUACUAGACGCCAGACAUAAAGUCUCAUUUUUAUUUCUACCAGUGUAAAAUAUUUAAUUACCCAUGAUUAAUUUUUAAUGUAAAUUUGUCAAAAAUUUUUCCAAAAGGACAUCAAUUGUAUUAACUGAUUCUGUACCCCUCCCUCCAACAUGUGGACCUAGUUAUUCAUCUCUUCAAAACCUUGUGGCUUACUGGUCAACCAGAGAGCCAUUCGCCCAGAAAGCUCCAUGUAUUAAAGUGAGAACACUUAACUGGUUUUUCUGGUGUGGAGCAAUGACUCACAGACUCAGAGGCCAUACUCUUCACCACCCUCCCCCACUCCUUCUUGGAACUUCCGCUCAUCCAUCACUUCUUUAGCCUUUUGGGGGGCGGGGGGCAAUUACUGAACAAAAGCAUACCUGUCACUGUCCCCUGGCCUUCCCAUGGUGUCUUUCUCAGAGAGGCACACUUUGAGAAAUGGGGAAAGAUCAAUGACUAUAAUAAGUCAGUUUGGUUUCUAGUUUUUUUUAUUUUUGUGGGGUUUUUUUCCUGUUUGUUUUCAACUAAAUUGAAGGAGAACUUAAUUGAAUUGUCAUCUGAUAGAACAUUAAAAGCAAUUUUUGAUGACAGAUUAUAAUAUGAUUUCU